UUUGGUUAGGAUUUGAUUUAAGAUCUAGGAUUUUUCUAAGGUUUGAUUUAGGAUUUAGAGUUUAAUUAGGAUUUGAUUUAAGGUUUAGGAUUUAGAAUUUAGUUAGGAUACGGUUAUGAUUUGAGAUUUGUCUAAGAUUUUAUUAGGAAUUGAUUUAGAGUUUAGGAUUUAUAUAGGAUUUGAUUUAGAAUUAAGAAUUUAGUUGGGAUUUGGCAUAAGAUUUGAUUAAAGUCCAUUAAGAUUUUAUAUAGGAUUAAAAUAGGAUUUAAUUGAGAUUUAUUUAAGAUAUAUUUGUGAUUAUUCUAAUAUUUCUUUAAAAUUUCUUAAAUAUGAUUUUAAGAUUUAUUGUGGAUUUCUUUUGAACUCAUUUAAGAUUUCUUAUUUUUUUAUUUGUAAUUUUUUUAAGGUUCUUUUGAAUUUGAUUUAAGCUUGAUUAAUAUUAUUAUAAUUUAAUUAGACUUUAUUUAGUAUUCUAUUAGAGUUAAGAUUUUAUUGUUAUAAUUUCUAUUCUACCUUUUAUAAUAAGGUGCCCAAUGCAUUUUCAAGUAAGACUUCUCUUAUUACAACAAUG
Molecule: long non-coding RNA, 571 nt
Filed under: Physcomitrium patens
Lineage: Eukaryota; Viridiplantae; Streptophyta; Bryopsida; Funariales; Funariaceae
Description: long non-coding RNA (PPAT_LNC001521)
Source: RNAcentral